CAUGAAGCAUCACAGCUGUCGAAUUGCCCCCGGCCACACUACGGGACAGUUCAGAUUAGACAAUGAAAAAGAAUCGCAUGUCCAGUCUACAGGAUGGAGAAAUUUGCCAGCAAGUGAGCACUUGUUUAUGGAAGGCAGUGCCCUCUUGGAUCAGACAAACCUGUUCUUUGUUCACAAGUGCCAAGACCCACGCGUGCAGGACAAAUGAAGUCGAGGGAGGUUCUGGCAGCCGGAUGAGGCGGGCAGGCGCACUGCAGGAGAGCUUCCAUAACGUUCCAUAAAAGCAAACCCCAGCCAAAUGGCUCUGACGACAAGAUUAACUACACAAACCAGGUUUGCUACAUUUUAGCUUUAAAACACUCCUUUGAAGUAAGUAGAUCAGGAAUUAUGGCAGUUAUGCUGAUGAGGAAACUGAGGCCCAAUGAAAUUCUAUGACUACCCAGAAAUCCAUGGAAAACUAGCAUCAGACCCCAAGCUGGCCCCACGGAGCCACACAAGGACCCUCCCAGCUUCUCUCCUUACGGGCGGCUUAACCGUUCUGUUGCCUCUGUGACCAGCGCGAUGCUUCUCGAAUGUCAGGAGGGAUUUCUUUUCUCCAUGAUUGCAAUGACUGUCACGCCUCCUUAAUUCACAGAUUCUCUACUCGCAAAUUUGCCUACCCGCUAAAAUUUAUUGUAACCCCCAAAUCAAUAUUCCAUGCUUGUGCUACUUGUGGACGUGCAGAGAGCGGCAAAAAAUUUGAGUCGCCCUUUGCACACAUUCCCAACUGAGGUCAAACCAGGUGUCGCUUUACCUUCUUGUUUCAGCUGUCAGACUGGAAACUCGUGUCCUUUUAAUGGUCUAUGUAGUGCCUCAUCUUUUGCAUUUUUGUUGGCGAUUUUGCUGUUUAAAAUGGCCCCCAGGUGUAGUGCUGAAGAGCUAUCUAGUGUUCCGAAGCACAGAGAAGAUAGAUGUUAAGUAUGCUUUCUUCAGGCAUGGGUUAAAGUGCUGUUGGCUGUGAGUUCAUACUGCUGGACUGAUGAAAAUGUUAUCAGUGGGCCAGCCCUGGUGGCUAGUGGUCAAGUUCCACACACUCUGCUUCAGUGGCUGGGGCCCAGUUCCAGGCGUGGAGCUAUACCGCUUGUCUGUCAGUGGCCGUGCUGUGUUGGCAGCUUACAUACAAAAAGAGGAAGACUGGCAGUGGAUGCUAGCUCAGGACGAAUCUUCCUCAGCAAAAAAAAAAAAAAGAAGAAGAAGAAGAAGAAGAAAAAAAGAAAAAUUUCUUCCCAGAGACUCCUAGGAACAUAACCAUGUAUUACUCAUAGGAGCAAAUACAAUAUCACCUAAUUCAAAGUUUGUAGUGAACAUAGCUACCACGAAUAAGUAGACUCGACUGUAUCAUUAUUGUGGCUGUUGUUGUUAUUGCCUGAUAAUAAGUGGUGUGGCCUCUGGGAGAAUUCCAGCUUACUUUUUAGACUUAUACAGCAAGAUCUGACUUUAGAUUACACUUCUUCCUGCCGCGGAUGCUGGGGAGCUGCCAUAGCACCCCUGGCACCCUCGAGGGCACUGCUAGCAAUUAGUCGCCAUUCCAAACCCUCACACCUGUUAACUGAAGCUCGGCUGUCUCACGUCUGGUUCUCUGGGAACCAGAGAGAGUCUGUUUACAAGUUAGGGCAGGCUUGCUCCUGGUUUUGCUUUGAGAGUAUUAAUGUCAAUGUCCUGGGGGCCUGGUCAUCAAUCCUACUGUUAUCAUUGCUCUUUCGGGAGAUCCAGGGUCACUACACAAGGAGAACCCUGCUGUCCUCCUUUGACACGCUAGAGUCCCUUAGGCAGACAUACAGACUAGACCUCAAUGCCUAACAGUGUUCUUUGAGAGACAGAUGACUCGCUGCUAAGGAAAAAUACAGGUAACUCAUACGCAAGUCUUAAAUUUCAGUACAUUGAGAGCAAAUAAAUCAGAACAUAUAUGGCUUUGCUAACCCUUUAAAGAAACCUUGGUUUCAAGUGGAAAAACUCACUCAAUAAAAUGUCUAAUGAAAGGAGGAGAA
This is a long non-coding RNA of Equus caballus (horse), 2027 nucleotides long. RefSeq lists it as uncharacterized. The record is from RefSeq and is a predicted model, not a curated record. Lineage: Eukaryota; Metazoa; Chordata; Mammalia; Perissodactyla; Equidae.